Molecule: ribosomal RNA, 253 nt
Filed under: uncultured bacterium
Lineage: Bacteria
Description: partial 16S ribosomal RNA
Rfam family: Bacterial small subunit ribosomal RNA
Source: RNAcentral
UACGUAGGGACCAAGCGUUGUUCGGAUUUACUGGGCGUAAAGGGCGCGUAGGCGGCUUAACAAGUCACUUGUGAAAUCUCCGGGCUUAACUCGGAACGGCCAAGUGAAACUGUCAAGCUAGAGUGCAGAAGGGGCAAUCGGAAUUCUUGGUGUAGCAGUGAAAUGCGUAGAUAUCAAGAGGAACACCUGAGGUGAAGACGGGUUGCUGGGCUGACACUGACGCUGAGGCGCGAAAGCCAGGGGAGCAAACGGG